Molecule: microRNA precursor, 64 nt
Filed under: Bactrocera dorsalis (oriental fruit fly)
Lineage: Eukaryota; Metazoa; Arthropoda; Insecta; Diptera; Tephritidae
Description: microRNA bdo-mir-9c precursor
Gene: bdo-mir-9c
Source: miRBase by way of RNAcentral
UCUUUGGUAUUCUAGCUGUAGAUUCUUAAAUAUGCUAUCAUCUAAAGCUUUUAUACCAAAGCUC